This is a long non-coding RNA of Mustela lutreola (European mink), 300 nucleotides long. RefSeq lists it as uncharacterized. The transcript is spliced from 3 exons. The record is from RefSeq and is a predicted model, not a curated record. NCBI's taxonomy places the organism in Eukaryota, Metazoa, Chordata, Mammalia, Carnivora, Mustelidae.
AGGCAAUCUGUGGGGUUAGAAGCCAACAUACUGUGUACCAUUGAGAAUUCCGUCGCUGUGGUUGCCUUCCUUGAUGUCAGUUGCUACGAUCGCUACGGCUCUCUUUUAACUGGACAGAACAUCUGGUCAUCACAGGCCUGCCUCCUGUGGCUGCCUGUGGGUCGCCCCAGGUGUACAAAACCUUCCCAGCUGGAUGCCACUGUCACACACACACUCCUGUUUCUGAAGUGCCACUGGUCAUCCAUAUCCACGUUAAGAAGCAGAGAGACUCCUGAGGUCUGGGCAGUAAAAACAACCACA